Molecule: long non-coding RNA, 440 nt
Filed under: Equus asinus (donkey)
Lineage: Eukaryota; Metazoa; Chordata; Mammalia; Perissodactyla; Equidae
Description: lncRNA (ENSEASG00005035323.1)
Source: RNAcentral
AUUCACUGCAUUCUCUCCAGCUCCAGGCACAGCGCUGGCACACAAGAAUAUCAAUGAAUAUUUGUUGAAUGAAUAGAAUGCCAGAGGCAUGAAGAAUAGGGCCGGGGAAGAUGGUAGCAUCUCCUGCAACCUCAGGCUUCGAACUUCCCUCUGUGAAGUACUGGGUUGGCAACACAUGCAAAUCAUUUUUGCCUGGAGAUCUUCUGAGAAGAAAGGGAAGCUCAGAGGCAUUGAUCUUGCCCCGAGUUCCGGGAAGCUGCAUUUUUCUUCGCUGCUGCUUUCAAGUGACCCGGAUCUCUUCACAGUUAUUGAGAUGGGGCAUGAUUCUGAGGAGGCACAUGAGAAGUGGGAACCUGGCUUACUUAUUGCCUUUGAGGGUCGGUGGGAGAGAACUUAUCAGAAGAACCAGAUCUUAUCUCCUCAGGACGGGGCAGGAAAAC